Long non-coding RNA from Engraulis encrasicolus (European anchovy), 328 nucleotides. RefSeq lists it as uncharacterized. The record is from RefSeq and is a predicted model, not a curated record. The transcript has 3 exons. Lineage: Eukaryota; Metazoa; Chordata; Actinopteri; Clupeiformes; Engraulidae.
GUGUUAUCCAAAAUACCUCAAGUUGAUUCUCUAAAGGAGGAGCAGUCCCGAGUCAUGGCUAUAGAAGAAGUGGCUGGCUAUGCUUUCUUCUGAAGUCUAUCAAAAAAACCUGGUGGGAAUUGUUGUGGAUGAAGUUCACGUAAUCUACAGAUGGGGCAACGGUGUAAAGGGGAAUCCAGCAUUGAGAGAGAGAGCUUUUCUCGCCUGGGACAACUCUGCUCAGUUGUGAAAGAAAGGCACACCUGUCAUGGCUUUGACGGCUUCAGCAGAAGUUGUCAACAGAGAGAGGGUCAUCAAGCUGCUACACAUGCACAAUGCAACCCGGGUG